Molecule: long non-coding RNA, 1506 nt
Filed under: Parus major (Great Tit)
Lineage: Eukaryota; Metazoa; Chordata; Aves; Passeriformes; Paridae
Description: lncRNA (ENSPMJG00000013950.1)
Source: RNAcentral
UGAAACACAACCGGUAAAACAAACAAAUGUAAAAACCCAAUUGCAUGUGAAGCAAUACAUGCACAGAAACACUAAGCUUUAAAAAUAAAUUAAAGAUGAAAAAGUUAGCUUGGGUUAACUGUUGUUAACCUUUGUUUUUCUCAUUCUGCAUGUUUCACUUUUCUCCUUGGGCAUCAACUGGAAGUUCAUUAACACUGAUGGAAACCAAACACACAGUAGAUUUUUCCCAGGACCUGUUCAUGUAGCCCAGGGAGGGACUUCCACCAAGAGCCGAGUUUUGAUCUCAUGGUCAUUACACAGAGUUAAUAGGAAAGGGGAGAACUAAUUUAUUACACAAGGUUUUACUUCUCACAGUGUAUAAACGGGGGAAUCCAAACCCACUUGGAGCAGUGUUGAAACCCCGCAGUGUGGGCUUCACAGAGACUUCCUAAACACGCGAUGCCAUCGUGUGGGCAAAGCUAUCGCCAGCAGUUUCCAGAGGAACGACAUUGAAUCCUAGAAUAUUUUGAGCUGUUUUGAGUUAAAAUGGUCAUCUCGACCCUGCUACGGGCAGGGACACCUUCCUCUAGCGCAAGUUGCGUUCGCAUCAUAUGAUCAUGCCAUUAAUUCCUUCAUUUUCACUUGCUAUGUCCUGACCCUGCUGACAGGAGUUGAGUAAUCCUGUGCCUCUAGUGGUGAUCAGAGAGAAUCUGAAACAGCAUCCACCCUUGGAAUUCUGGUCAGUCUGUUUCUGAGCUGGCAACAAGAAGACUAUUCUACAGGAAUAUUCACAACACCAGAUUUGUGGGAAUUUUCUCAUCUCCCCCCAUCUGGAAGGAGAAGGAGGCUUCACACUGAGCUCAGGCUGCAAGAAAAUCAACCAGAGCAAAGCAUGGAUAAAAAUGGUGUCACUGCUAUGAAUGUGAAGGCCUUGGUGUGAUGCAAGAAUCAACACCUGUGGCUGAAAGAACAAGAAUAAUGCAAAUGGGAUGAAAAGUAGCCAAUAUGAAAAAAAAGUGAGUUCUGGGAUCAGAGUUUUGCAGCUACUGAGGCUAUAAUUUUUCUCCCAAGUGUUAACAUGUCUGACGGAAGGCAUGGCCAGUCCCUGUUACCUUGCAUUUGUCCUUAGCACAUGUACAGCCUUUUUACCUCUCAGCCUCAGACCAGCCUGAUUUUGCCAGUCAGGAGACAGAAGCUGAGCCUAUUCAUUGAGAAAUUGUUGUGUUUUCCUUCCACUCCCUGUUGCCACUGAAAUCCAACAGCAGAGUCUGAGUGUUUACCCUGCAAGUGACCUGUGUGUGUUUAUUGCACACAGGGACUCUCAGCUUUUCCCUUCCCAAAGGCCACCAGUUGUUUCCAGCACACAUCAGGGCCAGCAACACCUUCUCCCACUGACCUUUCUGAGACCUUUCCAGGACACUUUUUGGGAUGCUUUUUAAAACACUUCAGCACAGGACACCUGGCACCUCAGCCCUGACAGGAGCUGGGGUCCCAGCUAUAGCUCUGAACAUUUUUUACUCUUUUUGA